GGUGGAGUUCCCGAGUGGCCAAAGGGGGCAGACUGUAAAUCUGUUGCGUUUCGCUUCGAUGGUUCGAAUCCAUCCUCCACCA
RNAcentral lists this transfer RNA (82 nucleotides) under Bittarella massiliensis (ex Durand et al. 2017). It matches the Rfam family "tRNA". From Rfam's summary of the family: Transfer RNA (tRNA) molecules are approximately 80 nucleotides in length. Their secondary structure includes four short double-helical elements and three loops (D, anti-codon, and T loops). The record is from Rfam by way of RNAcentral. Lineage: Bacteria; Bacillati; Bacillota; Clostridia; Eubacteriales; Oscillospiraceae.